GGUGAGGUGCCAGAGUGGCCGAAUGGGGCGGUUUGCUAAACCGUUGUGCGGAGUAAUCCGUACCGUGGGUUCGAAUCCCACCCUCACCGCCA
This 92-nucleotide transfer RNA is filed under the name candidate division Kazan bacterium. RNAcentral describes it as "tRNA-Ser". It matches the Rfam family "tRNA". From Rfam's summary of the family: Transfer RNA (tRNA) molecules are approximately 80 nucleotides in length. RNAcentral also lists the same sequence under 1 other name. The record is from RNAcentral.